Molecule: ribosomal RNA, 274 nt
Filed under: uncultured bacterium
Lineage: Bacteria
Description: partial 16S ribosomal RNA
Rfam family: Bacterial small subunit ribosomal RNA
Source: RNAcentral
AUACGGAGGAUCCGAGCGUUAUCCGGAUUUAUUAGGGUUAAAGGGUGCGCAGGCGGAACUGUAAGUCACCGGUGAAAUCCUACAGCUUAACUGUAGAACUGCCGGUGAUACUGCGAUUCUCGAGUAUAGUUGCGGUAGGCGGAAUGUGUAGUGUAGCGGUGAAAUGCAUAGAUAUUACACAGAACACCGAUUGCGAAGGCAGCUUACUAAACUAUUACUGACGCUCAUGCACGAAAGCGUGGGGAGCGAACAGGAUUAGAAACCCCAGUAGUCC